RNAcentral lists this long non-coding RNA (660 nucleotides) under Olea europaea (common olive). Its description in RNAcentral is "long non-coding RNA (OEUR_LNC007932)". The record is from RNAcentral. Lineage: Eukaryota; Viridiplantae; Streptophyta; Magnoliopsida; Lamiales; Oleaceae.
UAAAAUAUUUUUUGAUUACAAAUUAAAAAUGUUAUAGGUCACCAAAUUUAUUUAUCAUAAUUUUAACUAUCACAAAAUUUCAAAUUAUUUGGUGUAACUAUCAUAAUUUUAACUAUCACAAAAACCCAUAGAGCCACAGAUGGCCAACAGAGCCAACGAUUUACAAAGUAUGAGCUUCAACUCCACCACCACAACCAUCGUCAUAGGCAUCCACCGCUCUACCAAUUCUAGGUCGGCACAACCACUUGAACCUCUUCCUCUGCCUACCAUUUCUACCCUCCUCCACCGUCGUUAAACCUUACUCUACUACCACUCUUCCGGUGACCCAAGUGGGACUCCAUCCGUCUCUUCCAUUGCCUAUCCCUCUUCGGUCUUACUUUCUCUACCGCUUCGGCUCCAGCAAUAUCAAAUCCGCCUACUUAGCUAAACUUAAGUCAUCGUCCUUGGAAGAGCAACCUAAACCUUCCCCGACAACUCUCUUCCCGGCUAAGGUUAUGGACAAGAAGGAAGUCGUGAGCCAUAAUAAAAAAAAAAAAAAAAGGUUAUAUCAGCUUCACCAAGCAGCGACGCAAGUCAUGGGAGGCAACAGCGAUUUCGAUCGAUGGGUAGAGAGAGAAGGAUAAAGGGAAAAGACGCGCGAGAGAAUAGUUAUGGAAAAGA